Molecule: ribosomal RNA, 482 nt
Filed under: uncultured bacterium
Lineage: Bacteria
Description: partial 16S ribosomal RNA
Rfam family: Bacterial small subunit ribosomal RNA
Source: RNAcentral
AUUGAACGCUGGCGGCAUGCCUUACACAUGCAAGUCGAACGGUAACAGGUCUUCGGAUGCUGACGAGUGGCGAACGGGUGAGUAAUACAUCGGAACGUGCCCGAUCGUGGGGGAUAACGAAGCGAAAGCUUUGCUAAUACCGCAUACGAUCUACGGAUGAAAGCAGGGGACCGCAAGGCCUUGCGCGACCGGAGCGGCCGAUGGCAGAGUAGGUAGUUGGUGGGAUAAAAGCUUACCAAGCCGACGAUCUGUAGCUGGUCUGAGAGGACGACCAGCCACACUGGGACUGAGACACGGCCCAGACUCCUACGGGAGGCAGCAGUGGGGAAUUUUGGACAAUGGGCGAAAGCCUGAUCCAGCCAUGCCGCGUGCAGGAUGAAGGCCUUCGGGUUGUAAACUGCUUUUGUACGGAACGAAAAGACUCUGGUUAAUACCUGGGGUCCAUGACGGUACCGUAAGAAUAAGCACCGGCUAACUACGUG